Molecule: long non-coding RNA, 499 nt
Organism: Cyprinus carpio carpio
Lineage: Eukaryota; Metazoa; Chordata; Actinopteri; Cypriniformes; Cyprinidae
Source: Ensembl
GAAAACCCGAGGAGACCGGCGGAAGGGGUGAGAAUAGAAAGAGGAGGAAUGAAAUUCACAAAGAGAUGUCAGGGUGGAAGGUGAGUAGGGAGAGGACGAAGAGUUUUAAUAUAGAAGAGAGAAAAAGGGAGGUGGAGGAAUGCAGGGGUGGAACGGCUGAGCUCGACGUAUGGAGGGGGCAGAGAUCGACUGGAGCCAGACUGGGUGUAUGCAUCUGAGAGAGUCACUGUGGCAGGAUUCAAUAAAAAGAGAGAGGGCAAGACUUCAUACACUAAACAGAUGUAAACACGCUAUCUCAGCCACCCACAUCUAAAUCUUACGGGGGUGUGGUUUGAUAGAUUCACAGAGAAUUUAAACUGGCUGCUGUCCAAACUAAACAGACUGGAGACACGGCACUACUACCUGACAGCCAAGGUGGUGAUAUUCAGUGCCAGAGGAGGUUGCCCUGGAUACAGACAAAAUAAUCUCUGCAUGCUUGCCUGCAAAGCACUAUGGGACA